UUUAAGUACAGUUUUGGGUUUCUAUGCCUAACGUUUGAUUGUCUGUCUUAUUUAAAUUUUUUUAUGAUUGAUAUUUUUAUUGUUAUUAGAUGAUAAAACAUGAAAAGUAUGACUUUUUUUAAAAGUUUUUUUUCAUAAAAUUUUGAAAUGAAACGGAUGGUCAAACGUUAGAUAUGGAAACCCGCGAUUGCACUUUAA
Non-coding RNA from Oryza meridionalis, 198 nucleotides. The record is from Rfam. NCBI's taxonomy places the organism in Eukaryota, Viridiplantae, Streptophyta, Magnoliopsida, Poales, Poaceae.